UGGGGAAUCUUGCGCAAUGGGCGGAAGCCUGACGCAGCAACGCCGCGUGAAUGAUGAAGGCCUUCGGGUUGUAAAGUUCUGUCAGGGGGGACGAUAAUGACGGUACCCCCGGAGGAAGCCCCGGCUAACUACGUGCCAGCAGCCGCGGUAAUACGUAGGGGGCGAGCGUUGUCCGGAAUUAUUGGGCGUAAAGGGCGUGUAGGCGGCCGAUCAAGUCUGGUGUGAAAAUCCGGGGCUUAACCCCGGAAGUGCAUUGGAAACUGGUUGGCUUGAGUGCGGGAGAGGAAAGUGGAAUUCCCAGUGUAGCGGUGAAAUGCGUAGAUAUUGGGAGGAACACCAGUGGCGAAGGCGACUUUCUGGACUGCAACUGACGCUGAGGCGCGAAAGCUAGGGGAGCAAACAGGAUUAGAUACCCCAGUAGUCC
This 424-nucleotide ribosomal RNA is filed under the name uncultured Bacillota bacterium. RNAcentral's name for it is "bacterial SSU rRNA". It matches the Rfam family "Bacterial small subunit ribosomal RNA", at positions 355 to 796 of the family's 1533-position model. The record is from RNAcentral. Lineage: Bacteria; Bacillati; Bacillota.